Molecule: ribosomal RNA, 253 nt
Filed under: uncultured bacterium
Lineage: Bacteria
Description: partial 16S ribosomal RNA
Rfam family: Bacterial small subunit ribosomal RNA
Source: RNAcentral
UACGUAGGGUGCAAGCGUUGUCCGGAAUUACUGGGCGUAAAGAGUUCGUAGGCGGUUUGUCGCGUCGUUUGUGAAAACCAGCAGCUCAACUGCUGGCUUGCAGGCGAUACGGGCAGACUUGAGUACUGCAGGGGAGACUGGAAUUCCUGGUGUAGCGGUGAAAUGCGUAGAUAUCAGGAGGAACACCGGUGGCGAAGGCGGGUCUCUGGGCCGAUACUGACGCUGAGGAGCGAAAGCGUGGGGAGCGAACAGG